CAGCGACUGGAGGCCAAUGAGAAGCGUUCCUCCCGUGAGCGCUGGCGCCGGCCCGAACACACACGGAGGGUUGGCGUGACGAGACGAAGACUGCCGUGAAGAAGACGCCAACUUGACAGCUGUUCCAUACGACAGCGACGCAGGCGGAGGCCUCCCCUGUCCUCGUCUACAUCUUCUGAGAAAACCCAGCAGAAUCACGACCAUCUCCCUUCCUCUUUUUACGUCCAACAGGUACUAUAAGUACAGGGCUGGAAACGACUGGUGAUUCCUCCUUAGCGGUCUUCUUCUCCGCCCCAUCUGAAGCUGCGUAGAAAUCUCCGCCAUGGGCGAUUCCAAGGAGAGCCAUAGCAGUGAUAGCGGCGGCAGUGGGUGGAUGUCGGUGCCAGCGUUCGGGGAGUGGGACAUGAAGAACGGGGUGCCCGACUACUCCAUGGACUUCACCAAGAUCCGGGAGAUGCGGAAGCAGAACAAGAACCCCUCCCGCGCCAGCCUCGGCAACGACGACGAGCUCCUCACCAGCAACAGGCUCCGCUCCGACGGCGGCAACAAGGAGGAGGAGCAGGAGGCUCAACGCCGUCUUCCCCAGCACGACCAACGCCGCCCCAUCCAUCACCACCGCGGCGGCUCCCCCACCGGGAGGAAGAAGUUUAUGGGCUGCUUCCAGUGCUGUAUAGGUGCGUGAGGCAGUGGCUGCCUGCAACACACACACAUUCACACAGACACAGGCUCACUCCCUGGUGUUGCGUGCUUUGUAUUUGUUGGCUAGAGGAUGGUGACUGCUUGGGCUGCACCGAUGUUCACUUUUGCGUCUGGGAUUGCUUACCAUACACGGAGCUAACUCUUAGGCAGCUUUGUUCGUCGAGGAACUUUCUCUGGUUGGAUUUAUAUGGAGAAAAUGUCAGGAAUGUCACCUUCAUCUUAUGAAAAAAGGAGGCUCCCGGCCCAUAUGUUCCUUGUCUUGUA
Molecule: RNA transcript, 963 nt
Organism: Musa acuminata AAA Group (dessert banana)
Lineage: Eukaryota; Viridiplantae; Streptophyta; Magnoliopsida; Zingiberales; Musaceae
Exons: 4
Source: RefSeq, a predicted model, not a curated record